This 468-nucleotide ribosomal RNA is filed under the name uncultured bacterium. RNAcentral describes it as "partial 16S ribosomal RNA". It matches the Rfam family "Bacterial small subunit ribosomal RNA", at positions 28 to 507 of the family's 1533-position model. The record is from RNAcentral.
GAAGAACGCUGGCGGCGUGCUUAACACAUGCAAGUCGAACGGAAAGGCCCUGCUUUUGUGGGGUGCUCGAGUGGCGAACGGGUGAGUAACACGUGAGUAACCUGCCCUUGACUUUGGGAUAACUUCAGGAAACUGGGGCUAAUACCGGAUAGGAGCUCCUGCUGCAUGGUGGGGGUUGGAAAGUUUCGGCGGUUGGGGAUGGACUCGCGGCUUAUCAGCUUGUUGGUGGGGUAGUGGCUUACCAAGGCUUUGACGGGUAGCCGGCCUGAGAGGGUGACCGGCCACAUUGGGACUGAGAUACGGCCCAGACUCCUACGGGAGGCAGCAGUGGGGAAUAUGGCACAAUGGGCGGAAGCCUGAUGCAGCAACGCCGCGUGCGGGAUGACGGCCUUCGGGUUGUAAACCGCUUUCGCCUGUGACGAAGCGUGAGUGACGGUAAUGGGUAAAGAAGCACCGGCUAACUACGUG